GAUUUAAAGCCUUCAAUACAUGACAAAAUUAGCAUUCAAAUGGUGAUGAGUGUUCAAAAAGUUAGAAACGUAGCCUUGAAAGUUAAGAUAGUGAUGAAGCAAGAGCCUUUUAAAAAGUAUGGAGAUAAUAAAUUUGCAGUCGAAAAGGAAAAAGGGAAAAUAACACAAGGAUCCCUAGUUCAAGUGGCACGAAUGUAGAGAAGAGCAACAUCAAAGCACCAACAGUUGAAGGUAGCAGAGGUACCAAUUUUGAUGUACCUAAAGCUUCUAAUUCUUAUGCAAAACCUAUAGCUAUUAAGUGCUAUAGGUUCAAUAAGAUUGGGCAUCGUUCCAAUAAAUGCUGAAAGAGGAAAUUGGUUAAUGUAGUGGAAAGGGAGAUUGAAGAUGAGGAAGAAGAGUUUUAUGGACCUUAUGGGAAUGAUGUUGAGGAAGAA
Molecule: unclassified non-coding RNA, 434 nt
Filed under: Hevea brasiliensis (rubber tree)
Lineage: Eukaryota; Viridiplantae; Streptophyta; Magnoliopsida; Malpighiales; Euphorbiaceae
Source: RNAcentral